Molecule: ribosomal RNA, 970 nt
Filed under: Bacillus amyloliquefaciens
Lineage: Bacteria; Bacillati; Bacillota; Bacilli; Caryophanales; Bacillaceae
Description: bacterial SSU rRNA
Rfam family: Bacterial small subunit ribosomal RNA
Source: RNAcentral
GAGCGGACAGAUGGGAGCUUGCUCCCUGAUGUUAGCGGCGGACGGGUGAGUAACACGUGGGUAACCUGCCUGUAAGACUGGGAUAACUCCGGGAAACCGGGGCUAAUACCGGAUGCUUGUUUGAACCGCAUGGUUCAAACAUAAAAGGUGGCUUCGGCUACCACUUACAGAUGGACCCGCGGCGCAUUAGCUAGUUGGUGAGGUAACGGCUCACCAAGGCAACGAUGCGUAGCCGACCUGAGAGGGUGAUCGGCCACACUGGGACUGAAACACGGCCCAAACUCCUACGGGAGGCAGCAGUAGGGAAUCUUCCGCAAUGGACGAAAGUCUGACGGAGCAACGCCGCGUGAGUGAUGAAGGUUUUCGGAUCGUAAAGCUCUGUUGUUAGGGAAGAACAAGUGCCGUUCAAAUAGGGCGGCACCUUGACGGUACCUAACCAGAAAGCCACGGCUAACUACGUGCCAGCAGCCGCGGUAAUACGUAGGUGGCAAGCGUUGUCCGGAAUUAUUGGGCGUAAAGGGCUCGCAGGCGGUUUCUUAAGUCUGAUGUGAAAGCCCCCGGCUCAACCGGGGAGGGUCAUUGGAAACUGGGGAACUUGAGUGCAGAAGAGGAGAGUGGAAUCCACGUGUAGCGGUGAAAUGCGUAGAGAUGUGGAGGAACACCAGUGGCGAAGGCGACUCUCUGGUCUGUAACUGACGCUGAGGAGCGAAAGCGUGGGGAGCGAACAGGAUUAGAUACCCUGGUAGUCCACGCCGUAAACGAUGAGUGCUAAGUGUUAGGGGGUUUCCGCCCCUUAGUGCUGCAGCUAACGCAUUAAGCACUCCGCCUGGGGAGUACGGUCGCAAGACUGAAACUCAAAGGAAUUGACGGGGGCCCGCACAAGCGGUGGAGCAUGUGGUUUAAUUCGAAGCAACGCGAAGAACCUUACCAGGUCUUGACAUCCUCUGACAAUCCUAGAGAUAGGACGUCC